GUCCUCUGGUAUGAAACACACGCUCUGAGCUCAGAGCCACUUCUCAGAUUCACACAUCCCAUUGCCUGGAUGACAUGCCCUGUGCUCUUUCUCCCAUGAUAAACCUGACAUUUUAAGGAUAAUCAGGCUGCUUUUUACGGUAAGUGAUGCAGAAAUGGCGCCUGCCUUCACCUUCAUAGCUGCUGCUAAGAAGGAGAUUGUUUUAUUGUGAUGAUGAUUUUAGAAGGUGUUGAUUUACAAACAAAAGUAGCACCGCCAGAUGGCCCUGAGGUUUUCAUGGGGUACCAGUGACACAUCCCAUUAGCAGGCAGCACAGUGCAGGUGGUGAGCGCUCCAGUGCAGCACCAGACUCGCUUGGGGUUGAGUCUUGGCUCUUACUGUAUCCUUGGGCCCGUAGAGCAGUCCCUCAGCAUUUCUGGGCUUCCAUUUCGCCAUCCAUAAGACAUUCCUAAUAGUUUAUCACAGAGUUGUCAGGAAGGUGACAAAACCCACAGCCUUCGGUCUGGAGGAGCGCAGGAGCUGGUGAAGGACGACCCGUGUUUGCAUUUUUUAGAUGAUUGCCGUGAGGACCACUUUCUACUGCACGAGCAGGCAGCGUUCUGGCAGCUGCUGGGUGUUUUGAUUCUCGCGUAACCCUCCCUAUGCCUUUAGUCAUUGAGUUGAGGAUAUUUAUUCAUCAAACUUGUACCGGAGCCAGAGUCCUCAACAGAUGAGGAGCCACCGGCGUUUUGCUGUCCCGUGUGUUCUUGGUUGACGGGCGUUUUGCUGUCCUGCGUGUUCUUGGUUGCUCUGGGCACCUGUCGGGAGAUGCUGCCCGUUGACUCCGCAGGACGCUUCCCUUGGGAUGAGUUCUCAGAAAUUAGCCAAUGCUGCUGCCGCAUGGCCCCACGACUGGCCUGUGCCAGGCUUUCCUGCUGACCAGUUCCCUGAGGAUGAAGAACCCCAGGUGAGCAUGGCAGUUCAGGGGAAUUCUCAGUUCUUAAAACACGUGUCUUCUCAGUUCAAGACACAUUCUUGAAACUUUCUAGGGCAACGAGGGUUCCUGUGUUAGCCACUGCAGGGCUCGGGGAGCUUGCUCUCCAAAUCACGGCACUGAGCUGGGCUGCGACACGUGCUCAGCUCCUGGGAGCACCUCUCCAGGCCAGGAGGGUGCACACGGGGCUGCUCCCCACACCCACCCGUGAGGAUCCCCUGAGUUCCCGGUGGGAGCUGUGCAGACCACUCCUGGGUUUUCAUGCCUGUCCCUUCAAGAUGGCCCUUCUCCUGCCAGAUCUGCCCUUGGAUCCCUGAACCUUCCUAACUCUUUACAGACACAGCGAAUGUGAGUGCUUCGAAAGCUACUCGUGAGUCUUUUUGAACGUGCAUCCCUGUGUUCUGCUGCUUGCUGUGGGCAAGAAUUUUCUGACUGAUUGUUGUGAGCAGCAUUUAUCUUUGAAGCUGCCAUUUUACUUUCUGAGACAUAAAGUGGUAAUUUCAUAAUGGAAUUGUAUUAGAUCUUUAUAACUUUCUUUUUUUCUUUUUUCUUUCAUUAUUAUUAUACUUUAAGUUUUAGAGUACAUGUGCACAAUGUGCAGGUUUGUUUGUUACAUAUGUAUACAUGUGCCAUGUUGGUGUGCUGCACCCAUUAACUCGUCAUUUAGCAUUAGGUAUAUCUCCUAAUGCUAUCCCUCCCCCCUCCCCAUUUGCUUCAGUUGCCUCUGCAUCUGUGCAGGGAGCUUUAUAAAGACAUUAAGGAAAUACUGCAUUUGGCAUUUGAAAAGUCUCAAAUGUGCAGAUUUGAGAUGGGUUCAAAGGUACAGAUUGGAGAUGCUGACACAGUUUCUAUGCAUGGAUUCACCUUCAUGAAGGUACUUGUUAGAGCUUCCUCUAGAAGUGUCAGGGAUGCCACCAUAAUGCAAACUGUGGUUUUGAUUAUCUCACAAAUUCAUCCCACAUCUAAGACAGGCCAAGUAAGAGGAGAUGCCAGGUUUCCUGUGGAACACAAGCAUGAUGGUAUGGAGAGCCUUACUGUUUGUUUUUCCCCAGAUGGAAUAAAAUUCCCUGGAGUUUGAAUUCUCAGAAGUAAGGUGUCAGAUUCCAACCCUUUCAUAUCCCCCAGGGCCACAAUUUUAGAGACAAAAUAUGCUUAGCUUCUGGGGUAGAUGUGAGAUUUAGCCACGGUUCAGUGCGUUUGAACACGCAUGCCUAUACGUCGCUGUGGCCUGGCUUCCUCUGAAGAGGAUCUCACCUUAGCUCCCAGAGGUGAGUUAACUGGACGUAAAACAGACAGGUGCAAGAAGACAGUCAUUCAUGGCGGCAUGAAAAUACAUUUUGUCUAACGUCACCUUUAAGUCAUGACAGAAUAUGAGAGGAAAUCAGAGGGACCAUGCUGUCGUCCUGGGUGCAAAAUAAAAGUCGAGUUUCGUGGGUCCUGGCCAUUUCUAGGACCAGUUAUAUUUUUGAUGAAGCCACAUUGGAUGUUAAGUAAAGUACGCUCUUUGCCUGUUUCUGGGUAAUGGAUCUGGAGGGAUUGGAAUACAUUUUUUGUAUUUUUUCAAAAUAUUACAAUGGGCAUGAUAAUUUUUAGCAAGAAUCAGUGAAGUAAUUAAAAUAAAAACAUUUUAUGCUUUAUGCUUUUCUAGAAAUUGCCAUUUUGUUUGUCAACCCUGUGAUUUAAUAACUCAAUGCUUGAAUGCUGCUGCGUGAUAAUGAGGGAAAAAUGGGAAUAGGAGACAUGUUUGCCGUUGGGUGUGGAGUGCAAAAACACAAUUGUGAUUUGGCCAAAGAACAGCUCACUAGCAAAUAUCUACCUCCAGGGAAAACCGAGUUCACUUGCUCUAGCAAAGCUGGCUUCAUGGACUGAUGGGAAGAUUAAGUGGUUAAUUUCCAUAAAGUCUGGAAGAGUGCCUGGCGUAGCUUAGGCACAUCAAUCAAUGUAAGUUAUGCUUGUGGUUAUUAAAAUAUUGACAUAAAAAUGAGAGUAUGCAUUCAAUGUCCUCUUUAUUUUUAAUCUUUCGGUGUCUAAAAUAAUGACAUAUUGCCAGUAAUAAAUUCAGCAUGAACACUUACUACAGCCACUAUUUAAAUUCAUGAUAUCAGUUACAUAAAUAUUUUUGCGUUUUCACUUAGUACGGUCUUUUCAUUUACUAAAUACCUCUCUGGAAUUAUAUUUAUGAUUUGAUAUUUCUGUUAUGAGGAAGAAGUUGUGGAGGUCAGUGUAGGGCAGUUAAGAGAAGGACUCUGAGACAGAACACUGAUGAUAAGCCUGGGCCACCCAGGCAAGGAUUUUCCAUUACUUUUGGACCAGUCCACUGGCAAUAGCAUUGCUUUGGCAACUCUGAGGUGACAUCACUUUGUCUCUUGUUCUCUGGGUUUUCCUCUUGACAUUUAUUAGGGCAGUGGACUUCUGCUCGACAUCAUCUUGAAAGUCUAGGCUUGUUAUAUUGUGUCAUAAAUAAAUAUAACUGCUAUUUCCAGAAAACAGAGACACAGUCAGUUCAAAAUUAGAAAUUGAAUGGAAGCUCCAUGGAGAACCAGUGAGAUGUCGCCAUGAUGUAAAAUUUGGAAGGACAGAUCCAGCCACAGGGAGACAAAGUAUGUGUGAGAGCAAAGGAGCCGCUGGUUCCUGAAGUCAGGGUUGCAAUCUUUGGGGAAAUGUGUGGGUGGAUCCGGGCAAGGUGAUGGAACUGGGAGACCUGGCUAGGUGAGUGGGAGACUCUCUUAGAGCCGUGCAGUUUGAUGGAAGGGGGCGUGGGGCACGAGGCGGUGGACAGAGGGCAGGAUUGGGAGCACCUGGGGCUGCUACAUGGAAUGCUGGCUCUGUGCCAUCUACCACCUGUGACCGUUUUCCAUCUCUAAACCCAGAUCUGUCAUCUUGCAAGGCCCCUGUCACCAGCACAUGCCGCAAGGUCAUGGCCCCUGCCCUCCCGCAGAGGCUGAGAUGGAGAUGCAGAGCCCCCCGUCUGCUCAGAAGAAGGACGCAGAACAUGACUUGCUUUGAUGAUUUCCAAUAAACUUCCUCGCUGACUUUCCUCUCAUCUCUUCCCCUCCCUCCUUCAUUGUGUCCUUUCUCAGUUGAAAGCAGGAAAGGCAGGCAGGGAGGGGUCUUCAUGUGGGGCCCUGGGAGGUGGCCAGUCAGGGGUCAGGGAGGCAUUUGCUUUUGAGUUGGAGACUGAUGCUCACUGGAAAACUUGCCUUUGACUCUCGUCAGAACUCUUCACAGGGCUCCAGUGGGUGCGGGUGAAGGGGCCUCCUGGGGGAAAGUAAGGGAGCACAGAGCAAAUUACCCAAACACCACACCUGCAGAUGCACUCUAUCCCUCAGCCAGCCUCAUUCCUGCCCAAGGUAACAGAGCCAGCAGGUCCUCAUCACGGUGCCAUGGGGACGUCCGCUCUCCUGCCCACCCCCACGCAGGUGCUGUGUGUCCCAAGUCCACCCUCUUCACCCUGGGAUGAAAGAAAGGCAUGCAGGAAAUUCAAGGGGCCAGCUGGCUCUGAGGCAUCAUUGCUGGACACUGUUUUUAUAACAACCACUGAGCGAGAUGGUUGAACGCCGCAUGCACAGAACUCCACCGGCUGAAUGGUCUGUGGGCUGGGAUUUGCAUUCAAGUUCCAUUUCCUCACAGGAACGGGUGAACUGAGUUUCAUAAUCCAAGGCGACCUUCUCAAGGAAGCUAUUGCCUUUGGUGAGUAUCACCCUGAAAACAGUGCUGGGUGUUUGUCUCUCCUCUCUCGCUGCUUGGCUGGGCAAGUGCCCUUUGCCUAGAGGGAGGGAUCUGAGCCACACGGGGCUGUGAGGGACCCCAUCUCCAAAGGGCUCCAUUUACUGGGUUUUUAUACUUCUCAGAAUAUUGAUCAAACCAUAGAUUUUCUGUAGUCUCACAGCAAAGCCUGCAAUCCCACCGGCAACCGCGUGACAACCUCAAGCCAGUCACCUUUCCAGGCCCAACAACUGUCCUGUGAAUACAGGGUGCUCACGGGAACGGCUCCAUCAGCCCCGCACGCCAGUCAGUGCCAUCUCCAAAUGGUCAUUUGGUCUCAAGUUUAGCUUCUGUCUUAAUGUCUAUGGUUUUGGCUGAAGUCAUAUGGUGUUAUUGAAGCCGAGAACAAAAUCAGCAGAUUUCAUCUGACAUUAUUGCAUAUGGGUUCAUGAGGUUUUGUGGUUUCUUCAUCAAACAUGUAGUUAAAUGUUAUGAAACGGAACCAUAACAACCUUGUCCAGGAAAAAUCUAUGUGUCUAUUGAGGCACCAAAUGUGCUUUCAAGCUGAAUGGUUGGCAGGGCUGGAGAAGAUUAGCCUAGAGUUUAGUAAACCUGCCCAGGUGAACCACUGAAUCUUGCAAUUAAGUUGCUUCUAAUGACUUCACAUUUGGGAACAAAAAUAAACUUUAAAAAGAGAACUAGUACAAAAAAAACAGUGUCCUUCUGACUAUUCUAACGCCCCAGAGGUCAGAUGUUGAAUUGCAGCUUUGACCAAUUUCCAUGGGAGAAUUGCACAUUUAAAAAAAUAAACUUUUCUUCAAAGCUAGUGAGGCAGAGGGAGACACCUUCAUCUCCCUCCCGCCCUUCUUAGCUCCUCCAGGGCUGGCCAUCCUGUCUGCAACGCGGAUUCUUCUGCAUUUACACAUGUGAUAUUUACAGUGAAUGAAAGCUUUAUACUCAUUAUUCAUAAUAAUAAUAUCAAGUGCCUCUUAGUUCCAGGAACUGUUUCUCUUCAUUGCCCCCCUCUUUAAGUUAACAUGCAGGGAAAGAAAGAAAGAAAAGAAAAAGAAAAAGAUUUCUACCAGAUACGAAGCUACAGUGAGAAGGGUUCUGCCAGCAGCCACGUUCCUCAGCCCAACUCAUUAAUUCUGUGCCCCUGAGUCACAGCCGCCGGACAGAGCAGAAUCUCUCCCUGGAGGCAUUUCUAUGCCAGUGAGAAGGACAGUGGCACCAAACACGCAGAGUGCACAGUCACUGGUGAAGGUGACACUCACCAGAGGUUUGUGGCCUUUGCACCUGGAAGAUCAGAGCUUCUCUCUCUGAGAUGAGCUGACACAGCAUGCCAGGCAGAGACAGCCUCGGAAGUCUGGAGGUCCUGAGACUCCCCUGGAAGGAGGACACAGAAAUGAGGUGCACUCACCCUCCUGGGGCCAGGUUGCACGCACAAGCUGGAGACUCCAACCUCACGGAGCUGCCCCUCCAGUGGAAAGAGGCAGGAGCCACACCACCCACAGGUGGAUAAGUAAUCUCGGAUAGCGCCAGGGGCUGCAAUGGAAAUUAAAAUGGAAACAGGACCAGCAGCCAUGGGGCUGGGCAGCCCAGUGUUUUUAGGCAGAGGGGUGAGGAGGCAGCCUGGGGCUGAUGCCUGGAUCUGAAGAAGGAGUGAGCUGUGUGAGAUUUAGAGAGUCAUGCCAAGUGGAGGGAACAGCAGACUCAGUGGCAGCCAGGGGAGGAAGCGGUGUGGGGAGGUGGGAACGGUGAGGUGGGCAUGGGGAUGUGGGCACGGGGAGGUGGGCAGUCUCUCCAUGGCCUGCCUUGAGAAGGAGAGGAGAGGACGAAGGCAGGACAUCCUUGUUUUUAAGGCAGGAGCUUUAUUAUUGUUAUUUUUUAACGUAGAAGAGGUUAAAGCUUGGUCUCUGCUAUUGAGGUAAUAUGUCUGGCGGGGAAGUGGAGGCUGUGGGAUAGACAGAUUUCAGGGGCACGACUCUGGAGUCCGGGAAAGGGAUGCCGCUAUGCCUGGUGUCUGUGCAAUGCCCAGAGGGGUGGCCCUGGGCUCCAACAGGAGUGGGGGUGUUUCCAUCUGUCAGAGGGAAAAUUGAAGAUGUUUCAGGAAGCUUGGUGGCUUCUGCAUUUUCCCCAAAGCAGGUGCCGCGUGUCACCAAGAGGAAAAGCCAUCAGCUGAGAACUGAGGGUCUCCAAGGGCAUUUGGGGGGUUGAGGAGGAAAGAAUGAAAUGUUCCCUUGGAGACAUAUCCUGGGAUUUUGGGGAGAGUGGAGUCCAGAGAGAGAAGGAGCAGCACCUGGAAGGAGGCUGAACGUGUGUGCGAGAGUCAGUCAGUGCUCCCCUUGCAUCCAUUCGCAUGCACGGCCGGGUCUCUGCCGACCUCCUCCAGGCCCCCAGCCCUUCCCAGGCUAGCCUGCCUCCUGCCUCACAGAGGAAAAUCACACGCGCAACCGCAGCUCGUACAGCAGGUGGGUCCAUGGCCACGUUGAUGUUAAAACGUUCAUUUUUGGAAGGCCCAGAGGCCAGAAGACAGCUCAGGCAGCCUCCCCACGGCGGCGCACGCUGUCAGAUGCGACCCAGCCUCACUUAAAACUUCAAAGACACGCGUUUCAAGGUGGGCCUGGAGUGCUGUUCUUUUCACUGAUUUUUCUCAGUUUGUCGUCCGUUGAGUGGAUUCGGAGCUCUUUCAUCUGGGCGGUCACAUCAUCCACUCAUCCUGCAGAACCAACAAAAAGCCACAGUUGCACUGGACCGUUUCCCGCCAUUUUUCCUACGUGUGUGUGGCUGUCAGAAAAUGACCCAUAUUUACUUUGAAAUAAUACUUCCCGCCUUUGUUCCAUGUAAAUCUAAUUUAUGUUUACUGUUGAUUUAAGGAAGUGCAGGCAAGGAUAUGGAAGAAAUUUAAAUAACUUCUGUUUCUGCCACCCAGAGAGAACCUACUGUUAACAUUUUCUGUCAGGCUUUUUAUACACAUAUUUAUAUAAUUGAGAUUAUUCUGUAUAUACAAUUUUAGUCUUUGUUCCCUCCCGCCCCACCCAGUAUUACUUUGUAAGUAAUGGAGCCCAAUCUGUGGUUCCCCCACGAUAAAGUUAUUCUUUACUCUCAUUGAACAUAUGAACACUUUCUUAUUUUUAAAAAUUCUUAUUCUUUAGUACUACAAAUAAUACUGUGGCAAAAUGUUUUAUACCUUUUCCUGAAAUGGCGAUUUUCUUGAGUCCUACGGGAAGUUUUACCAGGUCAAAGCUCAGGAACUUAAGGUUUGGGCUUGCAAUGACACCUCACAUGAAGUGCUGCUGGAAUCAAUAUUUUUGGAGACUUUUCUUAAUUCUUUAGUUUCUUAAGGGUAAAGAGUGGCAG
Molecule: long non-coding RNA, 8038 nt
Organism: Homo sapiens (human)
Lineage: Eukaryota; Metazoa; Chordata; Mammalia; Primates; Hominidae
Exons: 3
Source: RefSeq, a predicted model, not a curated record